GCGGCGUGCCUAACACAUGCAAGUCGAACGGAGCUGAUAUUUGACGUUUUCUUCGGAUUUCUGAUGUUUCAGCUUAGUGGCGAACGGGUGAGUAACGCGUGAGCAACCUGCCUUUCAGAGGGGGACAACAGUUGGAAACGACUGCUAAUACCGCAUAACAUCCGGGAGGGGCAUCCUUUCCGGAUCAAAGAUUUAUCGCUGAAAGAUGGGCUCGCGUCUGAUUAGCUAGUAGGCGGGGUAACGGCCCACCUAGGCGACGAUCAGUAGCCGGACUGAGAGGUUGAUCGGCCACAUUGGGACUGAGAUACGGCCCAGACUCCUACGGGAGGUAGCAGUGGGGAAUAUUGGGCAAUGGGGGCAACCCUGACCCAGCAACGCCGCGUGAGGGAAGAAGGUCUUCGGAUUGUAAACCUCUUUUACCAGGGAAGAAGAAAGUGACGGUACCUGCAGAAGAAGUCACGGCUAACUACGUGCC
This 475-nucleotide ribosomal RNA is filed under the name uncultured bacterium. RNAcentral's name for it is "bacterial SSU rRNA". It matches the Rfam family "Bacterial small subunit ribosomal RNA", at positions 39 to 509 of the family's 1533-position model. The record is from RNAcentral.